GCUACACAUGCAAGUCGAACGGUAACAGGAAGCAGCUUGCUGCUUUGCUGACGAGUGGCGGACGGGUGAGUAAUGUCUGGGAAACUGCCUGAUGGAGGGGGAUAACUACUGGAAACGGUAGCUAAUACCGCAUAACGUCGCAAGACCAAAGAGGGGGACCUUCGGGCCUCUUGCCAUCAGAUGUGCCCAGAUGGGAUUAGCUAGUAGGUGGGGUAACGGCUCACCUAGGCGACGAUCCCUAGCUGGUCUGAGAGGAUGACCAGCCACACUGGAACUGAGACACGGUCCAGACUCCUACGGGAGGCAGCAGUGGGGAAUAUUGCACAAUGGGCGCAAGCCUGAUGCAGCCAUGCCGCGUGUAUGAAGAAGGCCUUCGGGUUGUAAAGUACUUUCAGCGGGGAGGAAGGCGAUGCGGUUAAUAACCGCGUCGAUUGACGUUACCCGCAGAAGAAGCACCGGCUAACUCCGUGCCAGCAGCCGCGGUAAUACGGAGGGUGCAAGCGUUAAUCGGAAUUACUGGGCGUAAAGCGCACGCAGGCGGUCUGUCAAGUCGGAUGUGAAAUCCCCGGGCUCAACCUGGGAACUGCAUCCGAAACUGGCAGGCUUGAGUCUCGUAGAGGGGGGUAGAAUUCCAGGUGUAGCGGUGAAAUGCGUAGAGAUCUGGAGGAAUACCGGUGGCGAAGGCGGCCCCCUGGACGAAGACUGACGCUCAGGUGCG
Molecule: ribosomal RNA, 718 nt
Filed under: Enterobacter sp. 736(2011)
Lineage: Bacteria; Pseudomonadati; Pseudomonadota; Gammaproteobacteria; Enterobacterales; Enterobacteriaceae
Description: bacterial SSU rRNA
Rfam family: Bacterial small subunit ribosomal RNA
Source: RNAcentral